CCUACGGGAGGCAGCAGUGGGGAAUUUUGGACAAUGGGCGCAAGCCUGAUCCAGCCAUGCCGCGUGUCUGAAGAAGGCCUUCGGGUUGUAAAGGACUUUUGUCAGGGAAGAAAAGGCUGUCGCUAAUACCGACAGUUGAUGACGGUACCUGAAGAAUAAGCACCGGCUAACUACGUGCCAGCAGCCGCGGUAAUACGUAGGGUGCGAGCGUUAAUCGGAAUUACUGGGCGUAAAGCGAGCGCAGACGGUUACUUAAGCAGGAUGUGAAAUCCCCGGGCUCAACCUGGGAACUGCGUUCUGAACUGGGUGACUAGAGUGUGUCAGAGGGAGGUAGAAUUCCACGUGUAGCAGUGAAAUGCGUAGAGAUGUGGAGGAAUACCGAUGGCGAAGGCAGCCUCCUGGGAUAACACUGACGUUCAUGCUCGAAAGCGUGGGUAGCAAACAGGAUUAGAUACCCUGGUAGUCCACGCCCUAAACGAUGUCAAUUAGCUGUUGGGCAACUUGAUUGCUUAGUAGCGUAGCUAACGCGUGAAAUUGACCGCCUGGGGAGUACGGUCGCAAGAUUAAAACUCAAAGGAAUUGACG
RNAcentral lists this ribosomal RNA (585 nucleotides) under uncultured bacterium. Its description in RNAcentral is "bacterial SSU rRNA". It matches the Rfam family "Bacterial small subunit ribosomal RNA", at positions 338 to 915 of the family's 1533-position model. The record is from RNAcentral.